Non-coding RNA from Rana temporaria (common frog), 408 nucleotides. The record is from the annotation of a RefSeq genome assembly. Lineage: Eukaryota; Metazoa; Chordata; Amphibia; Anura; Ranidae.
AUGAUCAGCUUUAUCCCAUCUGUAUUUGUGACCUCCUUACUGAUACUUUGUUUAUCAUGUUCUGUCCACGGAUAUAAUAUAAACUCAACAGAUCAGCAUCUUUUUGGAGAAAUUGGAGAAACAAUAACAUUAUCCUGCACCUACUCCAUUAGUAGUAAUUCUCCAUACAUAUUCUGGUAUCGUCAGUAUCCUCAUCAGAUACAGUAUAUUCUUCACCAGGGUGCAAAAAGUUACUCUAACAUCAAGAAAACUAACACAGAAUUGGAGCCUGGAAAGUUCCAAUCAGAGAACAGUGACACUCUAACAAAUUUAACCAUCCAUCGCCUGUCAGUGUCAGAUUCAGCCGUGUACCUGUGUGCUCUGAGUGAUGGUGCACAGUGUUACAUAUCUGCUCAGGAGCAAUGCUAA